RNAcentral lists this transfer RNA (72 nucleotides) under Methylobacterium organophilum. Its description in RNAcentral is "tRNA-Leu". Lineage: Bacteria; Pseudomonadati; Pseudomonadota; Alphaproteobacteria; Hyphomicrobiales; Methylobacteriaceae. The record is from RNAcentral.
AGCCGUAAAAAGUUGCCGGCAGAAGGAAUCAUAAUCCUUGUGUCGGGGGUUCAAAUCCCUCCCUCGCUACCA